CAGAUUGUAAGGAAUCGUACCCCAAACCGACACAGGUGGUCGGGUAGAGAAUACCAAGGCGCUUGAGAGAACUCGGGUGAAGGAACUAGGCAAAAUGGUACCGUAACUUCGGGAGAAGGUACGCUCUCGACGGUGAAGUCCCUCGCGGAUGGAGCUGACGAGAGUCGCAGAUACCAGGUGGCUGCAACUGUUUAUUAAAAACACAGCACUGUGCAAAAUCGUAAGAUGACGUAUACGGUGUGACGCCUGCCCGGUGCC
This 258-nucleotide ribosomal RNA is filed under the name Vibrio parahaemolyticus. RNAcentral's name for it is "partial 23S ribosomal RNA". It matches the Rfam family "Bacterial large subunit ribosomal RNA", at positions 1628 to 1870 of the family's 2925-position model. Lineage: Bacteria; Pseudomonadati; Pseudomonadota; Gammaproteobacteria; Vibrionales; Vibrionaceae. The record is from RNAcentral.